CCUUGAAGAGUAAUCCGAUUGGGAGUUAGUGGCGAACGGGUGAGGAAUACAUGGAUAACGUGCCCCGAACUCUGGGAUAGCGGCGGAACUUCGGUUCCUUUGCGAAAGUGCCGGUAAUACCAGAUGACCCCGUGCGGUCUCAUGAUCGUGCGGGCAAAGUUCAGGCGGUUUGGGAGCGGUCCAUGUCCUAUCAGCUUGUUGGUGGGGUAAAGGCCUACCAAGGCAACGACGGGUAUCGGGUGUGAGAGCACGACCCGACACAUCGGGACUGAGACACUGCCCGGACACCUACGGGUGGCUGCAGCAACGAAUAUUCCGCAAUGGGCGCAAGCCUGACGGAGCGACGCCGCGUGCAGGACGAAGUCUUUCGGGAUGUAAACUGCUGUCAGGGGCUAGGAAUACAUUGAUCAGCCCCAAAGGAAGCAUCGGCUAACUCCGUGCCAGCAGCCGCGGUAAUACGGAGGAUGCGAGCGUUGUUCGGAAUCACUGGGGCUUAAAGCGCAUGUAGGCGGAAUGUAAGGUGUCAUGUGAAAGCCCCCGGCUCAACCGGGGAAUUGCUAGGCAAACCGACAUUCUUGAGGCAAGUAGAGGCGACUGGAACCUUUGGUGGAGAGGUGAAAUUCGUAGAUAUCAAAGGGAA
RNAcentral lists this ribosomal RNA (640 nucleotides) under uncultured bacterium. Its description in RNAcentral is "bacterial SSU rRNA". It matches the Rfam family "Bacterial small subunit ribosomal RNA", at positions 70 to 706 of the family's 1533-position model. The record is from RNAcentral.